ACACUGAAGGACCUAAACUAAC
This 22-nucleotide microRNA is filed under the name Arabidopsis thaliana (thale cress). RNAcentral describes it as "ath-miR840-5p". Its record names the gene ath-miR840-5p. Lineage: Eukaryota; Viridiplantae; Streptophyta; Magnoliopsida; Brassicales; Brassicaceae. The record is from miRBase by way of RNAcentral.